Molecule: ribosomal RNA, 564 nt
Filed under: Artemia tibetiana
Lineage: Eukaryota; Metazoa; Arthropoda; Branchiopoda; Anostraca; Artemiidae
Description: partial 16S ribosomal RNA
Source: RNAcentral
CUCAAACUCUGGUUUAUAUCACUAUUUAAAAUAAUAUUAUAUAAGUAAAAGAAUUGAAUUUUAUCCACAAAAAAGUACUGAGAAGGAAAGUUUCGUUAAUUUUAAAGAAGUUAUUUAUUAUACCUUUUGUAUCAGGGUUUAUCUAAUUUUGACCAGUAUUGUCAAAUCCCGAAAUAAGGUGAUCUAUGUUAAUUAAAGAUGACUGUUUCAUAAUUCUCUUCAAGAUUAAUGUCGGUGUAAAAAAUAUUUCGUACCUUUAUAUCUGGUUGGCAUAAGACUCCUUUAGGGUACUCCACAAGGAAGAUUUUCUAGGGGACGAGCUCUAGAAAAAAUUACAUCAAACCACCGUCAGUGAUAUGAAUAGGCUUAAAAGUUGCCAGGGUGUAAUAACCAGGCUCACUUAGAUAAUAAUUUAAAGUUGAUUAAUUCAACCUAGCCAGUGCUGGUUAUUAAUAUCCAGCAGUUAUAAUGAUAAAAUUAGUAUAAGUAUAAAAAUAUAAUAGAAUUUAUUCUAAAAAUUCUGGAAGGAAUUCGGCAAAACUCGCUUCCGCCUGUUUAACAAAA